GAUGAAGAACGUAGCGAAAUGCGAUACUUGGUGUGAAUUGCAGAAUCCCGUGAACCAUCGAGUCUUUGAACGCAAGUUGCGCCUCAAGCCAUUAGGUUAAGGGCACGUCUGCCUGGGCGUCACAUAUCGUUGCCUGAUGCCAGUUUCCUCGUGAUGGGUGACUGUGCAGGGCGAAUGAUGGCUUCCCGUGAGCAUUGUUGCCUCAUGGUUGGUUGAAAAUUGAGUCCUUGGUAGGGAGCGCCGUGAUAGAUGGUGGUUGAGUGACGAACGAGACCCAAUCAUGUGAGACCCCUACCGAAUUUGGCCUUCAUGACCCACAUGCGUCUUUGGAACGCUCAUGACGAGACCUCAGGUCAGGCGGGGCUACCCGCUGAGUUUAAGCAUAUCAAUAAGCGGAGGA
This 400-nucleotide unclassified non-coding RNA is filed under the name soil metagenome. Its description in RNAcentral is "partial contains 5.8S ribosomal RNA, internal transcribed spacer 2, and large subunit ribosomal RNA". The stretch from base 1 to 122 matches the Rfam family "5.8S ribosomal RNA", at positions 35 to 154 of the family's 154-position model. The record is from RNAcentral.